CUCCACACAUCACAAAUGACUCAGAGUCAUGAUAGCUUGAACAAAUAAACAAGUAACAGUUGAGAAGAGAAAUCAAAGGCACAAUGCAGUAAUGACCUUUCUCUUUAACUCAGCACUGAAGCACUGCUUUCUUUCACAAAGGUUUUACUUCUCUCUGUGGGUGGUUUUGAGAUUACAAUGGCCUAAGAAACCCUUUCUUCAAGGAAUCAUCUGACAAGAAACAUCUAAACACCAGACUUGCCACCAAAACACAUAAAUGGGGCCACCGGCGUCUAUCUGUCAACACCACUGAAACAAUGGCUACAGGUAUUGGAGAAGGGAUAAACCGUAUGAAGCAG
RNAcentral lists this long non-coding RNA (338 nucleotides) under Parus major (Great Tit). RNAcentral's name for it is "lncRNA (ENSPMJG00000000609.1)". Lineage: Eukaryota; Metazoa; Chordata; Aves; Passeriformes; Paridae. The record is from RNAcentral.